This 343-nucleotide ribosomal RNA is filed under the name uncultured Bacteroidota bacterium. RNAcentral's name for it is "bacterial SSU rRNA". It matches the Rfam family "Bacterial small subunit ribosomal RNA", at positions 132 to 472 of the family's 1533-position model. Lineage: Bacteria; Pseudomonadati; Bacteroidota. The record is from RNAcentral.
UAUACAGGAGUAUAGCCCGAAGAAAUUCGGAUUAAUCCUCCAUAGUAUUUUCUAAUGGCAUCAUUUGGAAAAUUAAAGCUUCGGCGGUAUAAGAUGGGCAUGCGUCCUAUUAGCUAGAUGGUAAGGUAACGGCUUACCAUGGCAACGAUAGGUAGGGGGCCUGAGAGGGUGAUCCCCCACACUGGUACUGAGACACGGACCAGACUCCUACGGGAGGCAGCAGUGAGGAAUAUUGGGCAAUGGAGGCAACUCUGACCCAGCCAUGCCGCGUGCAGGAAGAAUGCCCUAUGGGUUGUAAACUGCUUUUAUUUAGGAAUAAACCCUUCUACGUGUAGAAGGCUGA